This 468-nucleotide ribosomal RNA is filed under the name uncultured bacterium. Its description in RNAcentral is "partial 16S ribosomal RNA". It matches the Rfam family "Bacterial small subunit ribosomal RNA", at positions 28 to 507 of the family's 1533-position model. The record is from RNAcentral.
GACGAACGCUGGCGGCGUGCUUAACACAUGCAAGUCGAACGGAAAGGCCCUGCUUUUGUGGGGUGCUCGAGUGGCGAACGGGUGAGUAACACGUGAGUAACCUGCCCUUGACUUUGGGAUAACUUCAGGAAACUGGGGCUAAUACCGGAUAGGAGCUCCUGCUGCAUGGUGGGGGUUGGAAAGUUUCGGCGGUUGGGGAUGGACUCGCGGCUUAUCAGCUUGUUGGUGGGGUAGUGGCUUACCAAGGCUUUGACGGGUAGGCGGCCUGAGAGGGUGACCGGCCACAUGGGGACUGAGGUACGGACCAGUGUCCUACGGGAGGCAGCAGGGGGGAAUAUUGCACAGUGGGCGGAAGCGUGAGGCAGCAACGCCGCGUGCGGGAUGACGGCCUUCGGGUUGUAAACCGCUUUCGCCUGUGACGAAGCGUGAGUGACGGUAAUGGGUAAAGAAGCACCGGCUAACUACGUG